Molecule: long non-coding RNA, 670 nt
Filed under: Ananas comosus (pineapple)
Lineage: Eukaryota; Viridiplantae; Streptophyta; Magnoliopsida; Poales; Bromeliaceae
Description: long non-coding RNA (ACOM_LNC026087)
Source: RNAcentral
CGGAAUAACCUAGAAGUUGACAUCAUGUUUGGUUAGCGACAUAAAGAAUGUUUCAUUCUUGUUAAUGUAGAAAGUAAUUACCGUUUGCCUAGUGAUCGAAUUUGACAAUUUUUAAUGGCCCAUUUAAUGGCCCAUCACUAGCAAGUUUAAUGACAUCAUUUACCUUUAAUGACAUCAUUUACCUUAGGCCAUUAAAUUGGGUUAUCAUUUGCCUAGUGAUCGAAUGAGCUCAAAAUCAAUAAAUUUCAAUGGCCGUAGUGAGCCGUUUGCAAGUUUAAUGGUGUAGAAAUAUCCAAAUCACGUGAAAUUUUGAUAAAAAAUUCUUUAUACUAUAUAAAACAAGAUCAAUAUCUUUGAUUUAAAAUUUUAAUGUCAUAUUAUUACAUUUUGUAAGAUUUUUAUUUUCAGCCGUUGAUUUUGAGCCCCUUUGUUCACUAGGCAAAUGAUAUCGUAAAAUCAUAAAAUUUAUUUUCUAGGUACUUCAAAUACUCUAGAUCAAGUUUAACGGAGCCGAUCAACGAUUCGAAAGUCGCAACAUCGAAAAUGAGCUGAAAGCACGGAAGGCUCCGUGCUUCCGAUAGCAUAGUAGCCUCACUCUCUCUCUCUCUCUCUCUCUCUCUAUAUAUAUAUAUAUAUAUAUCUUAAUGAGUCCAUUUAUAGUUGUCUAGCC